RNAcentral lists this ribosomal RNA (242 nucleotides) under uncultured bacterium. RNAcentral's name for it is "partial 16S ribosomal RNA". It matches the Rfam family "Bacterial small subunit ribosomal RNA", at positions 85 to 334 of the family's 1533-position model. The record is from RNAcentral.
CUGGUGGCGAGUGGCGAACGGGUGAGUAAUGCAUCGGAACGUACCGAGUAAUGGGGGAUAACUGUCCGAAAGGAUGGCUAAUACCGCAUACGCCCUGAGGGGAAAGCGGGGAUCGAAAGACCUCGCGUAUUGAGCGGCCGAUGUUGGAUUAGCUAGUUGGUGGGGUAAAGGCCUACCAAGGCGACGAUCCAUAGCGGGUCUGAGAGGAUGAUCCGCCACAUUGGGACUGAGACACGGCCCAA